Molecule: ribosomal RNA, 429 nt
Filed under: Chloroflexota bacterium
Lineage: Bacteria; Bacillati; Chloroflexota
Description: Chloroflexi bacterium partial 16S ribosomal RNA
Rfam family: Bacterial small subunit ribosomal RNA
Source: RNAcentral
UGGGGAAUAUUGCACAAUGGGCGCAAGCCUGAUGCAGCCAUGCCGCGUGUGUGAAGAAGGCCUUCGGGUUGUAAAGCACUUUCAGCGGGGAGGAAGGCGUUAAGGUUAAUAACCUUGGCGAUUGACGUUACCCGCAGAAGAAGCACCGGCUAACUCCGUGCCAGCAGCCGCGGUAAUACGGAGGGUGCAAGCGUUAAUCGGAAUUACUGGGCGUAAAGCGCACGCAGGCGGUCUGUCAAGUCGGAUGUGAAAUCCCCGGGCUCAACCUGGGAACUGCAUUCGAAACUGGCAGGCUAGAGUCUUGUAGAGGGGGGUAGAAUUCCAUGUGUAGCGGUGAAAUGCGUAGAGAUGUGGAGGAAUACCGGUGGCGAAGGCGGCCCCCUGGACAAAGACUGACGAUCAGGUGCGAAAGCGUGGGGAGCAAACAGG